CCGGUCUUCAGGAGCACGCCAAAGAAGUCUGAUGAUUUGCAUACUCUGGAUUGAUCUUUUACAGAUAUUGAGGUUUUACCCUCUACAACAGAGCUUGAACGGUUUGCAAAGUUGGGUUUAGGUAGACCAGUGCAGGAAACAUCUGGGACAGGAACCCAAAGAUCAAAAAUUCCACUAAAUUGGACUCUGUCUGAAUUAAAUAACUUUGUCUGCCAGUGCUACCCAAAUGUGAGUUUAAACUUAAUAGGUUUCCAUUUGGCAAGAGCAGGCAAAGGACGCAAGAUCCAAAAAGUUCAUGUAAAUUCUAUGAGGGAUUUAAAAAAAGCAGUUGGCAAAAGCAGGCUCUGUAUUGUCCCACGAGCUGAAGUUUUGCAGG
This is a long non-coding RNA of Carassius carassius (crucian carp), 376 nucleotides long. RefSeq lists it as uncharacterized. The transcript has 3 exons. The record is from RefSeq and is a predicted model, not a curated record. Lineage: Eukaryota; Metazoa; Chordata; Actinopteri; Cypriniformes; Cyprinidae.